RNAcentral lists this long non-coding RNA (412 nucleotides) under Rattus norvegicus (Norway rat). RNAcentral describes it as "long non-coding RNA NONRATT011243". The record is from RNAcentral. Lineage: Eukaryota; Metazoa; Chordata; Mammalia; Rodentia; Muridae.
UUCAGUUAAGCUGCUUCUGAGUGCUGGGGCUCUACCCAAUCAAGACCCAGUCAACUGCCUACAGAUAGCUCUCAGGAUGGGCAACUAUGAGCUCAUAAACCUAUUACUGAGGCAUGGGGCCAACGUCAACUACUUCUGCCGAGUUAACCCUCUGCAUUUCCCAUCAGCACUGCAAUACACAUUGAAAGAUGAAGUCAUGCUCAGGAUGCUGUUGAACUAUGGCUAUGACACUGAGCGAUGCUUUGACUGUCCUCACGGGGAAAGGGUUCAUCGUUGUUGUACUUUUGAAGGCUGGACAUCUACCGUUAUUAAAGAUACUAUGGUAAGCCCACAGUACUGGUGGUACUCCCUAAACAUUUAUUAUCUUCUAGCCUCAGAACUGUAACAAUAAACACGAUGUGCUCGUGGAAAA